AGCUGCUUACAAUGAACAUUGUGACUCUGCCCCAGGACUUCCUUUUCUGUCUGGGAAGCGAAUGUGGCCUGUGUAUAGGGCAAUCAAGAAGUGCCCAAGAGCUACAGAGAAGGAAAGACACCUCGACAGCUUCCUCAUCCUCAGUUGAGAGUGUGUGUCCAGGGUCACCCGAAUCACGUAGAUGGCCUCGACAUGAGAACCGUUUUACCCAUUGAAGGAAUUAAACAGGAGUUGGAAAGAGCUCAACAAGACCAGCCAAAGACUCAAAGAACAUUUGGCUCAAGGAAAUUCCAGAAGAGAAAGAGCUGGUGAAAAGGGAGGCUGGAAUCCUGGCAACUCCCUCCCACCCAAAGCAGGAAGGGUAGUUCAAGCUGCCAAAGGAAAGAUCCAGGCCAGGCUGGGAAGCCACCUUCAUACAUGGGAAUCUAGGUUGACAGACACUCUAUCAUCACUGGGCUGACUCACCUAGAACCCAGGACCUCCAGGACAACUGUAAGAAGGGAAGAGAAGGCAUGGUGGGAGGACACGGGCUCCUGAAACCUUCAGCUCGUUAGUGAUAAAACCUCAUUUCUGCUCUCAGCGCCUUUGCCAGCACUAGUCACGUGGUCUCCAUCUAACCAGCGGGGAGGUGGCUUGCAUGUGGCCUGGAGCCUCGGUUUCCUUCUAGCCCUGUCAAUUUGCACUUUUCUUGUAUCCACAGUCUUGAAGAAAUGCCAUGAGAGCUGAUGUUAGAUUUCCCAUCUGACACAGAGGAGGUCUCCUUUUAAACAAUAAUAAAAAUAGCCUCCAUUUA
This is a long non-coding RNA of Suricata suricatta (meerkat), 793 nucleotides long. RefSeq lists it as uncharacterized. Lineage: Eukaryota; Metazoa; Chordata; Mammalia; Carnivora; Herpestidae. The record is from RefSeq and is a predicted model, not a curated record. The transcript is spliced from 5 exons.